GAGAUCACAUGUACAGGGGUGCACAUAAGUGGUGCGCAGGUGCGCAUGCGUAGGAAGCGCAUUUGAGUACCAACUUUGGGACCAGUUCGCAGGGACACAUUUACUUACUGGAGUAGGAUAUUCCUCCAUCUGUGCUGGGGAUACUGCAUUACAUCAUCAUCCCCUUUCAUUAAUUUAGAUGCCCUCUCUUCACUGCUCUGCUGGAACAGUCUCUGCAUCUAUUGUUGUACAGUACUGGGGAAAAAAGGGACAAACAUUGCACCAAGAGGUCAUGGUUUGAUUAGACAGCAUGUUCGAGUGAGCCCUUGCUGAAGACAGAAAGUCAUAAGUUUGGAAUGACAUGUGGAUAUUCAACAAAGAGUUGACAAGAAUGCUACAAAUGUAAUGAUAGCAAAAACAGAGCAGUACGAUGGAAUGUAAACAUUUUAAAAGAAGAUCACAUGGGAGAAGAGAAUAUUGAAUGUUUUAUGUCAGAAGUCUCUUCCCCCAGGUUUGUGCUGAGUUUCACUCUAUCAAAGAAAGCGACACACACCAGCAAGAUUUCAGAGAUGAUGUGUGACAUUGAAUGUUUAUGAUCUUCCGGAAGAGUUGGCCGCGCCAGACAUCACUGACAUCAAUUCACACAAACAUCUCUCCUGUUGAUUUUGUCAUCAUGGACAACGAAACCACUAAGUCCUGCAAGUCCUGUUUGACAUGUGCAGAAAUACACAGUCACAAGGUUUUAAAAAAAGUUUGAAUAAAAAAUCUUUAAUUGUAUA
Long non-coding RNA from Megalobrama amblycephala (Wuchang bream), 758 nucleotides. RefSeq lists it as uncharacterized. The transcript is spliced from 6 exons. The record is from RefSeq and is a predicted model, not a curated record. NCBI's taxonomy places the organism in Eukaryota, Metazoa, Chordata, Actinopteri, Cypriniformes, Xenocyprididae.